RNAcentral lists this ribosomal RNA (477 nucleotides) under Triticum aestivum (bread wheat). RNAcentral's name for it is "partial small subunit ribosomal RNA". Lineage: Eukaryota; Viridiplantae; Streptophyta; Magnoliopsida; Poales; Poaceae. The record is from RNAcentral.
AUGUCAGGGUUACAUGAAGAGGGAGAAUGCCGGCAGCUGGAAUUCAGGCCUGGAAAAGGAGCAAAUAUUAGAGACCUAUUCUGCACAACUCCAAAAGUCUUGAAACUUCACGGAGGCAUGUUUUGGAAUGUAUCAAAAAUACUGGCGAAAGAAUCAACUAGAGGGGGCCCACACCCUGGCCACGAGGGUGGGGGCGCGCCCCCUGUCUCGUGGGCCCCCUGGCAGGCCUCCGGUGACCAUAUUCUGCUAUAUGAAGUCUUUCAUCUGAGAAAAAAUGAGGAGGAAGCUUUCGGGACGAAACAUCGCCGCCACGAGGCGGAACCUUGGCGGAACCAAUCUAGGGCUCCGGCGGAGCUGUUCUGCCGGGGAAACAUCCCUCCGGGAGGGGGAAAUCAUCACCAUCGUCAUCACCAUCGAUCCUCUCAGCGGGAGGGGGUCAAUCUCCAUCAACAUCUUCAACAGCACCAUCUCCUCUAA